RNAcentral lists this small nuclear RNA (290 nucleotides) under Jaculus jaculus (lesser Egyptian jerboa). RNAcentral describes it as "7SK RNA (ENSJJAG00000002384.1)". The stretch from base 1 to 247 matches the Rfam family "7SK RNA". Rfam says of the family: 7SK was discovered as an abundant small nuclear RNA in the mid-70s but a possible function has only recently been suggested. Two independent studies have found that 7SK RNA binds the CDK9/cyclin T complex (known as elongation factor P-TEFb). P-TEFb activates transcription by phosphorylating the C-terminal domain of RNA polymerase II. Lineage: Eukaryota; Metazoa; Chordata; Mammalia; Rodentia; Dipodidae. The record is from RNAcentral.
GGAUGUAAGGGUGAUCGGGUAUGACUUCUGUCACCCUGUGAAUUACAGGUGUCUUCCUCCCUUACAGCUCCAUGUGUGUGUCUCCAGAAAUUGUAAACUUGGUCUAAGAGAAUGACCCUCCCUGAACAGAGGAGGUCUGGUUUGGGGUCAAGGGUACAUGGGUAGCUGUACUCCCCUGCUAGACUCUCAGUACAAGCUCUCAAGGAAAUAGAAGUAAUUGAAGUGAUAUAUAGGCUGAUUCCUUAAGCCCUCCACAAGCUGCCCCCACCCAGAACUUCUUGCCCUUCUCU